Molecule: non-coding RNA, 165 nt
Filed under: Alistipes putredinis
Lineage: Bacteria; Pseudomonadati; Bacteroidota; Bacteroidia; Bacteroidales; Rikenellaceae
Source: RNAcentral
AAGCGUGCGGAGUAAUAGGGAAUCCGGUGCGAAUCCGGAACAGUGCUCGCUGCUGUAAGUCCUGUUUCCUUUCGGGGAAUAGUUCGAUCGCUCUCUUUUGCCACUGGCCAUGAAGCCGGGAAGGCGCGACGGACGGGAUGAGUCAGAAGACCUGCCUUUGCACGA